GAUGAACGCUAGCUAUAGGCUUAACACAUGCAAGUCGAGGGGAAACGGCAUUAUGUGCUUGCACAUUUUGGACGUCGACCGGCGCACGGGUGAGUAUCGCGUAUCCAACCUGCCCUUUACUUGGGGAUACCCCGUUGAAAGACGGCCUAAUACCCGAUGUAAUUCAUUGAUGGCAUCAGAUAUGAAUAAAAGAUUUAUCGGUAAAGGAUGGGGAUGCGUCUGAUUAGCUUGUUGGUGAGGUAAUGGCUCACCAAGGCAACGAUCAGUAGGGGUUCUGAGAGGAAGGUCCCCCACAUUGGAACUGAGACACGGUCCAAACUCCUACGGGAGGCAGCAGUGAGGAAUAUUGGUCAAUGGGCGCAAGCCUGAACCAGCCAAGUAGCGUGCAGGAAGACGGCCCUAUGGGUUGUAAACUGCUUUUAUACGAGAAUAAUUUGAUGCACGUGUGCGUUAUUGCAUGUAUCGUAUGAAUAAGGACCGGCUAAUUCCGUGCCAGCAGCCGCGGUAAUACGGAAGGUCCAGGCGUUAUCCGGAUUUAUUGGGUUUAAAGGGAGUGUAGGCGGUUUGUUAAGCGUGUUGUGAAAUUUAGGUGCUCAACAUUUAACUUGCAGCGCGAACUGUCAGACUUGAGUACACGCAACGUAUGCGGAAUUCAUGGUGUAGCGGUGAAAUGCUUAGAUAUCAUGAAGAACUCCGAUUGCGAAGGCAGCAUACGGGAGUGUAACUGACGCUUAAGCUCGAAGGUGCGGGUAUCGAACAGG
This 761-nucleotide ribosomal RNA is filed under the name uncultured Prevotella sp. RNAcentral describes it as "bacterial SSU rRNA". It matches the Rfam family "Bacterial small subunit ribosomal RNA", at positions 28 to 776 of the family's 1533-position model. The record is from RNAcentral. Lineage: Bacteria; Pseudomonadati; Bacteroidota; Bacteroidia; Bacteroidales; Prevotellaceae.